RNAcentral lists this small nucleolar RNA (78 nucleotides) under Astyanax mexicanus (Mexican tetra). Its description in RNAcentral is "Small nucleolar RNA SNORD63 (ENSAMXG00005005580.1)". It matches the Rfam family "Small nucleolar RNA SNORD63". Rfam says of the family: snoRNA U63 is found in both humans and mice. The record is from RNAcentral. Lineage: Eukaryota; Metazoa; Chordata; Actinopteri; Characiformes; Acestrorhamphidae.
UUGCUGUGAUGUUUUAAAAUCAACACAUUAUUCUUACUGUAAAGUGAAGAAACAUUAAAAAAAAAAUCACUGAGCAAA